GACGAACGCUGGCGGCGUGCCUAACACAUGCAAGUCGAACGGAAAGGCCCUGCUUGCAGGGUACUCGAGUGGCCAACGGGUGAGUAACUCGCGGGUGGUCUGCCCUCCACUUCGGGAUAAGCCUCGGAAACUGGGUCUAAUACCGGAUAGGAGCCAUUUUUAGUGUGAUGGUUGGAUAGUUUUUUGGGUGUAGGGUGAGCUGGCGGCCUAUCUGCUUGUUGGUGGGGUAAUGGCCUACCAAGGCGGCGACGGGUAGCCGGACUGAGGGGGUGGACGGCGACAUUGAGACUGAGGGAAGGCCGAGGCACCGACGGGGGGGAGAAGGGGGAAAGAUUGCAGGAGGAGCGCAGGGCGGAUGAAGAGGCGCCGCGUGGGGGAUGACGGCGUUCGGGUUGAAGACACAUUUCGCUAGGGACGAAGCUUGUUGUGACGGUACCUAGAUAGAAAGCACCGGCUAACUACGUG
RNAcentral lists this ribosomal RNA (465 nucleotides) under uncultured bacterium. RNAcentral describes it as "partial 16S ribosomal RNA". It matches the Rfam family "Bacterial small subunit ribosomal RNA", at positions 28 to 507 of the family's 1533-position model. The record is from RNAcentral.